This 492-nucleotide ribosomal RNA is filed under the name uncultured bacterium. Its description in RNAcentral is "partial 16S ribosomal RNA". It matches the Rfam family "Bacterial small subunit ribosomal RNA", at positions 29 to 507 of the family's 1533-position model. The record is from RNAcentral.
AGUGAACGCUGGCGGUAGGCCUAACACAUGCAAGUCGAACGGCAGCACAGUAAGAGCUUGCUCUUACGGGUGGCGAGUGGCGGACGGGUGAGGAAUACAUCGGAAUCUACUUUUUCGUGGGGGAUAACGUAGGGAAACUUACGCUAAUACAGCAUACGACCUACGGGUGAAAGCAGGGGAUCUUCGGACCUUGGGCGAUUGAAUGAGCCGAUGUCGGAUUAGCUAGUUGGCGGGGUAAAGGCCCACCAAGGCGACGAUCCGUAGCUGGUCUGAGAGGAUGAUCAGCCACACUGGAACUGAGACACGGUCCAGACUCCUACGGGAGGCAGCAGUGGGGAAUAUUGGACAAUGGGCGCAAGCCUGAUCCAGCCAUACCGCGUGGGUGAAGAAGGCCUUCGGGUUGUAAAGCCCUUUUGUUGGGAAAGAAAAGCAGCAGGUUAAUACCCCGCUGUUCUGACGGUACCCAAAGAAUAAGCACCGGCUAACUUCGUG